GACUCUCUCCCCACUGUUCGAUCACCUCCUCUUUACCACCCCCUUGAGUUAUCAUCUUUGCCUCGUACUUGCACGCAGUGUACUCGCCUUCAACUGUACUUUAAAAUUAAUCUGCCGUUUUUCUCUACUCGCCUUCAAAAUCAUCCAUUCAGGUCUCCAAGAGUUAUAUAUAUGGAUUUUAUCUUGAGGACCGAUUAGAGUUAUUCUUAAAAAUUUUGAAACACUUGAAUUUUAAGUUUCUUACAGAUGAAACUAGCUUAUUUUGUAUUUAAAGAUAAUAUUUUGAGUUAGCUCUUGUUUUCUUAAUCGAUUAUACAUAAACUGAUUCUAAAAAGUUGUGUCGGUUUCUUUUACUAUAAAAUUUGAGAAUUUUAAUCGCAUUUUAUAUUGAUUUUAAAAUUAUAAAAUUAAUAAAUAUAUUUUGUAAUUUUAAAAAAUUAAUUUUAAUUUUUAUUAAAAAUUUACAUUUAAAAAUAUUAAAAUUAAUUUUAAUUAUAUACUUAAUUUAUAUUAUAUUAUUUAAUUUAAAUUAUUAUAUAUAAUUUAUUGUAAAAUGAUUAAACUAACCCUCCAUAUAAGAAAGCCCUAAAACUCAAAUUCAUCUUUCCUUGUUACCUCGACUCUCUCCCCACUGUUCGAUCACCUCCUCUUUACCACCCCCUUGAGUUAUCAUCUUUGCCUCGUACUUGCACGCAGUGUGCUCGCCUUCUAACUGUAUUUCAAAAUCAAUCCGCCGUUUUUCCCUGCUCGCCUUCAAAAUCAUCCAUUCAGCGUCGCUUUGGAGCAGCCGCGGCAGGAUCCACUGGUAAAGUGCUUUCACUAUGUAUCUGUUGUGAACUCAUCGGCGAUAGGACCCCUUGGUUUUCUUCAAACCGGGGAUCUUUCUCUUUUUUUUUUUCUAGUGUUUUCUGGUUGCUAUUUGCAUAAAUUUUUGCUUUGUUCAAUUACUGCCUCUUUGCUAAUGUCGUGCUACUCAACAUCUUUCUUCCAAGGCUUCGUUCCUCCUGAUUCAUUGCCGAGACGUGUUUUCUUGCUGUUCCAUUUUCUCGUUUUCUACAGAUAAUGUGUUACUUCGAGAUUGUUUUGUAUUUCAUUGAAGGCUUCUCUUUGUUUACCUAUGCUAUACGUGGUUUUCGUUUUUCUUUUAGUUUUGAUUCUUUUGUGUUCCUGGUGAUACUUGGUUGGGGUUUAAUACUACAACCUUGAAUCCUGGGUUCGUAAAGGCAAUUUGUGAUGUAAUCUUUUUUAUUUUCAAUAAAUAAAAUUCUCUUUUCUUGAUAAGAGCAAUUUUGGUUAUGCAUCAGGGACUUGUAGUUGAAGUAUAAAGAGGAGGGCUUUCUAUUGUUCAGAAAGCAUAAUUUGCUGUAAAUCCGUAUAACUAAUAUGAGGAAAUAAUUAGAACUUAUUCCAUUUUCAGUAAAUGAGGAAAGCUUCAUUUGAUAACUUAAUCUUCUUUUACUUUUGACAGCAACAACUGCGAGAAAAAUGUAGUUCUUCUUGUAUAUAUAUAUUUAUGCAUUUAAUAAUUACUAUUCCUUUGUACUCGGAACAAGCAGCAAUGAUAUACACAGGACUUACUAUAUGCAUUCUUGCACUUAACUGCUUGAAUCUUUUAUAUAUAAAAAAGAAGUUUUCUUUCAAAAUGUUGCUUCCAAGUUAAAUAUUACCUAUCCCUGUUUGUCCAUGUCCAUUUUUCAUGCAUCUGUUUUAAGUUUGACAUUUCUUAGGACUGUAUUCACCAUAUUGUCUACUGAUUGGCUUUAAUGGUAUUAGGUGCCUGGUCUUGAUUAGUGAUAUAAUGGGUUGGAAGGCAGCUGAGAAACUUAUCAGGCACUGGAGGGUUCUUAGAGGAGACAAUGU
RNAcentral lists this long non-coding RNA (1860 nucleotides) under Carica papaya (papaya). RNAcentral's name for it is "long non-coding RNA (CPAP_LNC008668)". The record is from RNAcentral. Lineage: Eukaryota; Viridiplantae; Streptophyta; Magnoliopsida; Brassicales; Caricaceae.